This 331-nucleotide ribosomal RNA is filed under the name uncultured eukaryote. Its description in RNAcentral is "partial 18S ribosomal RNA". It matches the Rfam family "Eukaryotic small subunit ribosomal RNA", at positions 1470 to 1796 of the family's 1831-position model. The record is from RNAcentral.
CCCUUAGAUGUUCUGGGCCGCACGCGCGCUACACUGAUGCAUUCAACAAGCCUAGCCUUGACCGAGAGGUCCGGGUAAUCUUUGAAACUGCAUCGUGAUGGGGCUAGAUUAUUGCAAUUAUUAAUCUUCAACGAGGAAUGCCUAGUAAGCGUGAUUCAUCAAAUCGCGUUGAUUACGUCCCUGCCCUUUGUACACACCGCCCGUCGCUACUACCGAUUGGAUGGCUUAGUGAGACCCUCGGACCGAUAGGCUGUCGCCGCGGCAACGUGGCGACCGGCCCGUCGGGAAGAAGGUCAAACUUGACUGUCUAGAGGAAGUAAAAGUCGUAACA